UUCUUCUUCCUCAAUGGUAGUUGUAAUAACAACUUUCAGUUACCUCUCAUUGCCCAGGUGCUCCCAGGUGCUAUUGUCUCCGGAUUAAGUUUGCUGCAAGCUGGAGUUCUACAGGAGCCAUUCUCACAAGAGCUCCUUUUACCUCCAUAUCUGUGCAUCUCUCAACGGUAAUUCUGCAGAUUCAGAAUUUGACCAUGCUAAGAGCUAAGUAUGUAUAAUUUUUCAUCAUCCACCUGAAAAACAGCACCUGAAACUGGGAGCACAUCACAGAGCAGGCAUAAGACUGACAAUGGAACUAUUCUGGGCAACAUUGUCAUUAAGGGACAUGUGACAAUUUCCAAAAAAUGCUACUUUUAGAAACAUGAGAAAAAAACCACUUUUUUUAAUCUUCAGGAAAAUGAAGUGAUUCCUUAAAAGUAAACACAGCAUUAAGGGAAAACAGUCUUUCCUUAAAAAUCAAAAAUAUUUAAGGGGCUCCUGAGUGGUUCAGUCAGUUAAGCGUCCGAUUUCUACUCGGGUCAUGAUCUCAUGGUUUGUGAG
Felis catus (domestic cat) is the source of this 540-nucleotide long non-coding RNA. RefSeq lists it as uncharacterized. Lineage: Eukaryota; Metazoa; Chordata; Mammalia; Carnivora; Felidae. The record is from RefSeq and is a predicted model, not a curated record. The transcript is spliced from 4 exons.